UACAGAGGGUGCGAGCGUUAAUCGGAAUUACUGGGCGUAAAGCGUGUGUAGACGGUAGCGUAAGUCAGAUGUGAAAGCCCCGGGCUCAACCUGGGAAUUGCAUUUGAGACUGCUCUGCUCGGGUGCGGAAGAGGGAAGCGGAAUUUCCGGUGUAGCGGUGAAAUGCGUAGAUAUCGGAAGGAACACCAGUGGCGAAAGCGGCUUCCUGGUCCGACACCGACGUUCAGGCACGAAAGCGUGGGGAGCAAACAGG
Molecule: ribosomal RNA, 253 nt
Filed under: uncultured bacterium
Lineage: Bacteria
Description: partial 16S ribosomal RNA
Rfam family: Bacterial small subunit ribosomal RNA
Source: RNAcentral